ACGAACCGUGCGAACGUUGUUCGGAAUCACUGGGCUUAAAGGGCGCGUAGGCGGCUUGCCAAGUCGGGGGUGAAAUCCGGCAGCUUAACUGUCGAAGUGCCUUCGAUACUGGCAAGCUCGAGGGAGGUAGGGGUCUGUGGAACUUCUGGUGGAGCGGUGAAAUGCGUUGAUAUCAGAAGGAACGCCGGUGGCGAAAGCGACGGACUGGACCUCUUCUGACGCUGAGGCGCGAAAGCUAGGGGAGCAAACGGGA
This 253-nucleotide ribosomal RNA is filed under the name uncultured prokaryote. RNAcentral describes it as "partial 16S ribosomal RNA". It matches the Rfam family "Bacterial small subunit ribosomal RNA", at positions 525 to 777 of the family's 1533-position model. The record is from RNAcentral.